GAUGAACGCUGGCGGCGUGCCUAAUACAUGCAAGUCGAGCGAACAGACGAGGAGCUUGCUCCUCUGACGUUAGCGGCGGACGGGUGAGUAACACGUGGAUAACCUACCUAUAAGACUGGGAUAACUUCGGGAAACCGGAGCUAAUACCGGAUAAUAUAUUGAACCGCAUGGUUCAAUAGUGAAAGACGGUUUUGCUGUCACUUAUAGAUGGAUCCGCGCCGCAUUAACUAGUUGGUAAGGUAACGGCUUACCAAGGCAACGAUGCGUAGCCGACCUGAGAGGGUGAUUCGCCACAAUUGAACUGAGGUACGGUUCAGACCCCCAAUGGAAGCAACAGUAGGGUAACUUCCCCAAGUGGCGAAAGCCUGACGUAGCAACGCCGCGUGAGUGAUGAAGGUCUUCGGAUCGUAAAACUCUGUUAUUAGGGAAGAACAAAUGUGUAAGUAACUAUGCACGUCUUGACGGUACCUAAUCAGAAAGCCACGGCUAACUACGUG
This 497-nucleotide ribosomal RNA is filed under the name uncultured bacterium. Its description in RNAcentral is "partial 16S ribosomal RNA". It matches the Rfam family "Bacterial small subunit ribosomal RNA", at positions 28 to 507 of the family's 1533-position model. The record is from RNAcentral.